Molecule: ribosomal RNA, 395 nt
Filed under: uncultured bacterium
Lineage: Bacteria
Description: bacterial SSU rRNA
Rfam family: Bacterial small subunit ribosomal RNA
Source: RNAcentral
GACGAACGCUGGCGGCGUGCUUAACACAUGCAAGUCGAGCGGUAAGGCCCUUUCGGGGGUACACGAGCGGCGAACGGGUGAGUAACACGUGGGUGACCUGCCCUCAGCUCUGGGAUAAGCCUGGGAAACCGGGUCUAAUACUGGAUAUGACUCCAUGACGCAUGUUGUGGGGUGGAAAGCCUUGUGCGGCUGAGGAUGGGCCCGCGGCCUAUCAGCUUGUUGGUGGGGUGANGGCCUACCAAGGCGACGACGGGUAGCCGGCCUGAGAGGGCGACCGGCCACACUGGGACUGAGACACGGCCCAGACUCCUACGGGAGGCAGCAGUGGGGGAAUCUUGCGCAAUGGGCGAAAGCCUGACGCAGCGACGCCGCGUGAGGGAUGACGGGCCUCGGUU